RNAcentral lists this ribosomal RNA (515 nucleotides) under uncultured bacterium. RNAcentral describes it as "partial 16S ribosomal RNA". It matches the Rfam family "Bacterial small subunit ribosomal RNA", at positions 28 to 523 of the family's 1533-position model. The record is from RNAcentral.
GAUGAACGCUGGCGGCGUGCCUAAUACAUGCAAGUCGAGCGAAUGGAUUAAGAGCUUGCUCUUAUGAAGUUAGCGGCGGACGGGUGAGUAACACGUGGGUAACCUGCCCAUAAGACUAGGAUAACUCCGGGAAACCGGGGCUAAUACCGGACAACAUUUUGAACCGCAUGGUUCGAAAUUGAAAGGCGGCGUCGGCCGUCACUUAUGGAUGGACCCGCGUCGCAUUAGCGAGUUGGUGAGGUAACGGCUCACCAAGGCAACGAUGCGUAGCCGGCCUGAGAGGGUGAUCGGCCACACUGGGACUGAGACACGGCCCAGACUCCUACGGGAGGCAGCAGUAGGGAAUCUUCCGCAAUGGACGAAAGUCUGACGGAGCAACGCCGCGUGAGUGAUGAAGGCUUUCGGGUCGUAAAACUCUGUUGUUAGGGAAGAACAAGUGCUAGUUGAAUAAGCUGACACCUUGACGGUACCUAACCAGAAAGCCACGGCUAACUACGUGCCAGCCGCCGCGGUAA